This 216-nucleotide long non-coding RNA is filed under the name Ananas comosus (pineapple). RNAcentral's name for it is "long non-coding RNA (ACOM_LNC039657)". The record is from RNAcentral. Lineage: Eukaryota; Viridiplantae; Streptophyta; Magnoliopsida; Poales; Bromeliaceae.
CGGGCUAUUGGACGGAUAACUGCGCUAUCGAAGGCUUGGGACGAGGCGCGGGGCGUGGGAUAGAGUUUAGAGUUACGUUGGUAGUCUGUGUACGUUGUCUUUUCGAAGUAGUCUGUGAUUUCCCGUUAUGUUACUUUUUUCUUCCGUUUCGGGGUUUUUGUACCCUGUAGGAGACCCUAGCUGUCUCCAUCAUGCUUGCUAAAUUCAUACCCCUAU